UGCAAGUCGAGCGAACAGAAGGGAGCUUGCUCCCGGAUGUUAGCGGCGGACGGGUGAGUAACACGUGGGUAACCUGCCUGUAAGACUGGGAUAACUCCGGGAAACCGGAGCUAAUACCGGAUAGUUCCUUGAACCGCAUGGUUCAAGGAUGAAAGACGGUUUCGGCUGUCACUUACAGAUGGACCCGCGGCGCAUUAGCUAGUUGGUGGGGUAAUGGCUCACCAAGGCGACGAUGCGUAGCCGACCUGAGAGGGUGAUCGGCCACACUGGGACUGAGACACGGCCCAGAUUCCUACGGGAGGCAGCAGUAGGGAAUCUUCCGCAAUGGACGAAAGUCUGACGGAGCAACGCCGCGUGAGUGAUGAAGGUUUUCGGAUCGUAAAGCUCUGUUGUUAGGGAAGAACAAGUGCGAGAGUAACUGCUCGCACCUUGACGGUACCUAACCAGAAAGCCACGGCUAACUACGUGCCAGCAGCCGCGGUAAUACGUAGGUGGCAAGCGUUGUCCGGAAUUAUUGGGCGUAAAGGGCUCGCAGGCGGUUUCUUAAGUCUGAUGUGAAAGCCCCCGGCUCAACCGGGGAGGGUCAUUGGAAACUGGGAAACUUGAGUGCAGAAGAGGAGAGUGGAAUUCCACGUGUAGCGGUGAAAUGCGUAGAGAUGUGGAGGAACACCAGUGGCGAAGGCGACUCUCUGGUCUGUAACUGACGCUGAGGAGCGAAAGCGUGGGGAGCGAACAGGAUUAGAUACCCUGGUAGUCCACGCCGUAAACGAUGAGUGCUAAGUGUUAGGGGGUUUCCGCCCCUUAGUGCUGCAGCUAACGCAUUAAGCACUCCGCCUGGGGAGUACGGUCGCAAGACUGAAACUCAAAGGAAUUGACGGGGGCCCGCACAAGCGGUGGAGCAUGUGGUUUAAUUCGAAGCAACGCGAAGAACCUUACCAGGUCUUGACAUCCUCUGACAACCCUAGAGAUAGGGCUUUCCCUUCGGGGACAGAGUGACAGGUGGUGCAUGGUUGUCGUCAGCUCGUGUCGUGAGAUGUUGGGUUAAGUCCCGCAACGAGCGCAACCCUUGAUCUUAGUUGCCAGCAUUUAGUUGGGCACUCUAAGGUGACUGCCGGUGACAAACCGGAGGAAGGUGGGGAUGACGUCAAAUCAUCAUGCCCCUUAUGACCUGGGCUACACACGUGCUACAAUGGACAGAACAAAGGGCUGCGAGACCGCAAGGUUUAGCCAAUCCCAUAAAUCUGUUCUCAGUUCGGAUCGCAGUCUGCAACUCGACUGCGUGAAGCUGGAAUCGCUAGUAAUCGCGGAUCAGCAUGCCGCGGUGAAUACGUUCCCGGGCCUUGUACACACCGCCCGUCACACCACGAGAGUUUGUAACACCCGAAGUCGGUGAGGUAACCUUUAUGGAGCCAGCCGCCGAAG
This 1422-nucleotide ribosomal RNA is filed under the name Bacillus pumilus. RNAcentral's name for it is "bacterial SSU rRNA". It matches the Rfam family "Bacterial small subunit ribosomal RNA". The record is from RNAcentral. Lineage: Bacteria; Bacillati; Bacillota; Bacilli; Caryophanales; Bacillaceae.